Long non-coding RNA from Halichondria panicea, 270 nucleotides. RefSeq lists it as uncharacterized. The record is from RefSeq and is a predicted model, not a curated record. The transcript is spliced from 2 exons. Lineage: Eukaryota; Metazoa; Porifera; Demospongiae; Suberitida; Halichondriidae.
UUAUGAAGAAAGCUGUGAAGCUGAUACCGUACCGCACCAGAUCGAUUACAAGUUUCCAAAAGGUCUUGAGGCUAUCUGGGCUAAAGUAACGACGCAGCUGAGUCAGACCUCAUUGUGAGGGGUUGUUUUGUUCACAAACUGUUCAAUUUAUAUAUCACAGUCAUUCUUUUGGCAUAAGUGGCUAUAGGUAUUAUUUUGGUUUUAAGAAGCUAUUGAAAAGUGAAAGUGUAUACUAUACUAUAAAUUAUGAGACAUCUUGAUCCCAUCUUG